CGCUCCUUGUAAAAAUAUUUUAAUAUAAGGAGUCCUGCCUGCCCAGUGACAACGUUAAACGGCCGCGGUAUCUUGACCGUGCAAAGGUAGCAUAAUCAUUUGCCUUUUAAAUGGAGGCUGGAAUGAAUGGCAAGACGUGGUUUAAGCUGUCUCUUUUUUGCAUCUUGAAAUUAUCAUUCUCGUGAAGAGUCGGGGAUGGUUUCGUAGGACGAGAAGACCCUAUUGAGCUUUAGCGUAGUAGUUUAGGCAAUAAAAAUUUUUAAGUACUAAUAGAUUUUUUUAAAAAGUAGAAAUUUUAUUUUAUAAGUCUUAUUGUUUUAGGCUUAAUGCUUUAAUUGGGGCAAUUGCGGAGAAGAGAGACCCUCCGUUUCUAGGUUUUAUACAAAAAGUUACAUCUUUAGAGUACAGUUGUUGUAGAAAGUGAUCCACUAUAUAGUAGUGAACAAAGGAACAAGUUACCAUAGGGAUAACAGCGUAAUUUUCUUGGAGAGUUCAUAUUGAUAAGAAAGUUUGCGACCUCGAUGUUGGAUCGGGACAUCCUGGAAAUGCAGUAGUUUUCAAGGGUUGGUCUGUUCGACCAUUAAAGUCCU
RNAcentral lists this ribosomal RNA (590 nucleotides) under Caymanostella spinimarginata. RNAcentral describes it as "partial 16S ribosomal RNA". It matches the Rfam family "Bacterial large subunit ribosomal RNA", at positions 1816 to 2597 of the family's 2925-position model. The record is from RNAcentral. Lineage: Eukaryota; Metazoa; Echinodermata; Asteroidea; Velatida; Caymanostellidae.